This 253-nucleotide ribosomal RNA is filed under the name uncultured bacterium. Its description in RNAcentral is "partial 16S ribosomal RNA". It matches the Rfam family "Bacterial small subunit ribosomal RNA", at positions 524 to 776 of the family's 1533-position model. The record is from RNAcentral.
AACGUAGGACGCGAGCGUUAUCCGGAGUUACUGGGCGUAAAGCGCGGGCAGGCGGUUGUCUAAGUGAGAUGUGAAAGCGCCCGGCUAAACCGGGCGAGGCCAUUCCAAACUAGAUGACUGGAGGGCAGUAGAGGUAGGUAGAAUUCCGGGUGGAGUGGUGAAAUGCGUAGAGAUCCGGAGGAAUACCAGAGGCGAAGGCGGCCUACUGGGCUGCACCUGACGCUGAGCCGCGAAAGCCAGGGGAGCGAACGGG